CUAGGUAUUUAUAUUUUUCUAAGGGUCCUCAAGGGUUAGGGUAUGAUUUUUGGGCCAAAAAGAUACUUAAAAACUCGGGUUUUAACGUUUUGGGAACAGGCGCCGUGGCGCCCAAGUUUCUGCUCGUUUUUUCAUUCAUUGGGCACCAUGAUGCCAAUGCCACUGCUUUGCUUCUCUUCUCUUUGUUUUUCCAAGCCUAUUUUCCACUCAAAUCUUAUUCAAUACUUGCUUAUUCAUGCUCUAUUUCAUUGAUAAUCAUUUUUGCUCAUCACCGGCUCCCAAUAGUGGUAUUUUCUCGAGAGUUGUCCAAACUGCAAAACAACACUAACACACACAUCAAAACGUUCAAAAAUGCUCAAGAACACAUCAAAAAAACGUGAUUUAGA
RNAcentral lists this long non-coding RNA (386 nucleotides) under Olea europaea subsp. europaea. Lineage: Eukaryota; Viridiplantae; Streptophyta; Magnoliopsida; Lamiales; Oleaceae. The record is from RNAcentral.